RNAcentral lists this ribosomal RNA (420 nucleotides) under uncultured archaeon. Its description in RNAcentral is "partial 16S ribosomal RNA". It matches the Rfam family "Archaeal small subunit ribosomal RNA", at positions 323 to 746 of the family's 1478-position model. The record is from RNAcentral.
CUACGGGUGGCAGCAGCGGAUCAUUUACAAUGCACGAAAGUGUGAUAAUGCGAGCCAAAGUGCUUUUCGUUUAGAAAAGCUUUUCUUCAACGUAAAUAAUUGGAGGAAUAAGGACUGGGAAAGACUGGUGCCAGCCGCCGCGGUAAUACCAGCAGUUCAAGUCGCAUCCAUUUUUAUUGGGUCUAAAACAUCCGUAGUUUGCCAUUUAAGUCUCUUGUGAAAUCGUACGUCUCAAGCGCACGACUUGCAGGAGAUACUGAUAGGCUAGAGAUCGGUAGACGUAAGGAGUACGCCGGGGGUAACGGUUAAAUGUGUUAAUCCUCGGUGGACUAACAAUGAGCGAAGGCACCUUACGAGGACGAAUCUGACAGUCAGGGAUGAAGGCCAGGGGCGCAAAACGGAUUAGAUACCCGAGUAGUC